Ahaetulla prasina is the source of this 10375-nucleotide long non-coding RNA. RefSeq lists it as uncharacterized. The transcript is spliced from 3 exons. The record is from RefSeq and is a predicted model, not a curated record. Lineage: Eukaryota; Metazoa; Chordata; Lepidosauria; Squamata; Colubridae.
UGCCAAGGUUGGAGACCCCCGUUUUGGGCAACGGAAAGGCUGGUUCUUGGGAAGAGCUCUCAGACUCAACUGACAUUCCCGGAGUUUAAAAGGAUUUGCAAGCAGGCUACCAUUGCCCUUACCAUUGUGGCCAAGUCAUCUUCUGAAUGCACAAGGAAGGCAUAAAGGCAACUGGAGGUUUUGCAGAAGUACAAAGGAAAUUUAAAGAAGAAAAACAGUGGAGAAAAUGACUCACUGAAGAAGAGCCUAAUGCUGGGAAAGAUUGAGGGCAAAAGAAGAACGGGACGACAGAGAAUGAGGUGGCUGGAUGGAAUCACUGAAGCAGUUGGCAUGAGCUUAAAUGGACUCCAGAGGAUGGUAGAGGAUAGGAAGGCCCGGAGGAAUGUUGUCCAUGGGGUCACAAUGGGUCGAACACGACUUCGCAACUAACAACAACAACAAUAUACAUCCACUUAUUUUAGCAUACAAAAUCUGUUUCCAAAAUAUUUUUUCCUAAAUAUUUUUGCAAUAUAGGAACAAUAUCUCUUUUUGGCAGUGGUUCAAGCUUAGUUUCAAUUUAGUUUUUGAAUGUUUCAUUACCAGACUAGGUAUCAUCAGCAGGAUUUUCUUGUCCUAUUCUCCUUAGCUUAUAAAUGUCUUGCGUGCCACUGUGGUCAGUUGGUUGGUUGAUUGGUUGUUUGUUUGGAGCUAUAUUUCAAUUCUGAGCAGCUGAUUGGUUCUGUUGAUUGGUUUUUCAAAUGGCCUGGUUUCUUACAUAUUCAUAUGCUGGAGGCUAGAUCAAUAUGCUUGUUAAUUGCUCCUUUAGUAGAAUACCAGGUUUCAAUAAAUUCACAUUUGUGGAGGGUAUUAGCAUGGCCAAUGAUUUUUGUUCCUGCCCAAUCGAAUAAUACUUCAUUGCCUAGUCAAAAAGAACUAAUGAAUAAUAAAAAUAUAUUUUAUUACCUUUGCUUUCAGGAUGUGCUCUUUUCAUAUGUGCUGUGUGAAUAAUUUUUAAGAUCCAUUGGGUCUGUGGCUUGAAUAGAACUGCCAUACACGUGUUGUGCAUCUUUUAAUAAAGGAAAUCAAUUUGUGUCUUUCCUGUGUGCAAGUGUGUGAAUAUAAAUACAUUCUACAAUCUUUAUUACUUUAUUUUAGAUUUCCCUUUCUGUUCAUUCUGUUACAGAUUAAGUCAGACUCAUUUUCUUCAAAUUAACAGGAAAUUACAAAAGACAAAUUCCAGACAAAGAUUAUAAUUUAAAUGAAUGUCCACGCCUGUGAGGGCUCCUGGAUUAAGGCUGAAAGGUGAAAGGCAAGCAGUAUGCUCUCUCCCAUAUUUGGGUAGACCAGGUUACUUCAUUAAAAAAAAACCCUUAAUCUUUUCCCUGGUACAGCUGACAAAGUGAGGAGGAGAACCUGUGGCUUAGAGGUUAAUACAUCUGCCUAAUAUGCAAGCAAGCCCAGGUUCAAAUCCCAGAAGGUUAUGGCUAACUGAUGAGAGCUAAAUAGAUCUCCCUUUAUUUCUUUGUCAGUAAAUAUAAAUUUACCACAAAAUAGUUUGUCAUGUAAGCAACUGCCUGUGAAGGCUCCUGGAUUGGGGCUGAAAGGCGAAAGGGAAGCAAUAUGCUCCCUCCCAUAUUUGGGUAGACCAGAUUGUUUCCAGAAGAAAAAAAAAACACCACUAUAUACUCUCUCUCUCUCUCUCUCUCUCUCUCUCUCUCACACACACACACAGUUGUUCUAAAAACAUGACACAAAAAGACAAGAUACAUAUUUCAUCAUUUUCUGAACUGAAGGAUAAGAUAGAAUGUGCUUCUUUAUCUGAGAUAUCUUCACAUAAUGGUUUAUAAAAAUCUUUCUAAACUUAACAUAAAAACAUUCAUGCAUAUGUUCAUUUACUAAGGGAGCUUCUUAAUGAAUUUUAGUAUUUCAUCUUGCUUAUGUAUUAUAUUCACAGCAUUUUCCUGUGGUAGCAUUUUUACUGUCCUUCUUAUAAAACUUUUUCUCAAAUAAGAAAAAGCCCAAAGAUUAAAACCAACAAACAAUCUGCUUCAUUUUCAUAAUUGCUUCAUGCAUAUUUUGUUAUAAUAGUUAUGUUGUAUAGUAGUUGUGUUAAAUUCUAAGCAUCUUUUUUGAUAAUAAUUUAUUAAUACUUCUCAUAUCAUGUCAGUAUAUUAGAAACAAAAUUUGAUUUGCAAGAUGGAAAUCAAUGCUGCUGUAUAAAAUUUCCUGGUUUACCCUACCACUGAUAUUAAUAUAAUCCACCAAGAUACCUGCAAUAAUUAAUUUAAAUUGCAGAUUUGAGUGCCUUAUAAGCUCUGACCUUAUAAGGGAGUGAUCAUUCCACUGAACUCCAAUCUUCUUUGGAAUAACCCAGUAUAUAUUUCAAUACCCAUUUGUAUGAUUCAACACCGAUUUGUAUGAUUGGCAAUUUGGGAUAUUAGUUGUUUUAAUGAUUUUUGUAAUUUCUGUAUCAAAUGGACUUUUAAUACUCCAAACCUUUUAGAGAUUGGAAAUGAACAUUCCGUAUCCAAUAUAGUAUAUCUCAUAUCACUGUAAUUUGUAUAAUUUGAGGGGUUCCAUAAAAUAUAUUUUCCAAUUACAUAAAACAAAGGUAGGCAUAAUGAGAAAAAAUAAAAGUGUAAGAAUCUCGAAGCUACUUUGUCAGUUGACUAAUAAAAUUAGAAGCUAGUGAAAAUCAGAUUAUACAACAGAAGAAUUAGGAUAUUUUCUUGACCAUGUAGAAUUAAAUUAGGUUGUUAAGUAAAUGUAAUAUAUAAUUAGGAUGAAGAAUUAUGUUUCACUUUUGAAAAAAAAUACACAAGGGAACUGGAAUUUUAGCCAUCCAACAGUCUGAAAACUUGCAUUUACUGCAAGUUGCCUUCAGUUCUUAAGAUUUAGGUUCCUACCAAGGCUAAUUGUGAGAAAAGAACCUCAUAUUUUCUAUUUUAGCUCACUUUUCAUUUGAAGUAUUUUAAAAAUAUUUUAAAUUGGAAACUGGUGAUUUCUUAAACUAGAUUGCCUAUAGAUGCUGCUUUGAGUGUUUUACAAGUUUUGAAGGAAUUAAAAAGAACUGUUUGAAAAUGAUCUCAGCCAUAAGCAUACAUUCUCAAAUAUAUAUUUAAUUUGGCUAAAAUUCUCACCAACUGCAUGACUACCGCAGGGAAUUAUUUAAACAAGAGAGUAACUUACAGUUGUCUCAUUGAAAUCUAUACUUGCACUCUGUGGACUGCUUCUCAUACUGGAUGAAGAUGUUAAAAUGGUAUUUUCUUCUCUCUGCAUCUCCCAUCUCCCAAAGAAUGCUGAUCUAGAUAACUAUAACAGCAUGAGAACAGAUACUAGAUGCUUCAGAUAAAAAACAAAUGUGUGACCUUAAUGGAUUUAUCAAAACAGGCACUUCUAUGUUAACUUGGGUUUCAUUUCAAAAAAUUGCAUGAAAUGUGGACUCAAACCCUCAGUCAAGACUAAAAAGUACUUUUUAAAACCAUAUUUUUUUAGAUUGAAAAAGAAUUGUUAUUCCAGCUCGAAUCUAUUGAAAGGAAACUGUCAGCACCAGGUUCCAUUGCUUUCAUAAACAAUAAUUGCAUAGAAGAGGCUCUUUGGAUCCCACUUAAUGUUACCUGAGAAGUAUACAUUAAAUUGAAAUUGUUCACUAAUCAUUAACCAGAGCAGAUGGUUAAUACCAAUAUAGUCUUCUUUAAACACUAAAUGCUUUAAUUUUAUCCAGUUUGUUAGCAUGGUGGCAUUAAGCUUUUCACCAUAGGGUGCCCUUUUAUUUAAGUUGGACCAUAUGUUAAGCCCAACUUAUGUUAUUCAUCUAAAUUUAAGUGGUAUCUGUUUGUAGAAAUAAGGCUCCUUUCACAAUCUAUAGCUACCUAAGGAUUGCUUGAUACACAGCUUUAGGUGUCACCUAAAAUGUUUGCUUCUACUGUACAGAUUCCCAUACUUAUAAUAGGAUGGUGGGGUGUGCUUAGCAAGAAGCAAAGACUGUGGGGAGACAUAAUAAUUGUGUUCAAAUACUUGAAGGCAAGUAAAAUAAAGGGCAGAAUUGUUGAGAGUUCUUCCAGAAGACAGGAAAAAAUGGAUUUAUAUUACAAAGUAGAUUUUGAUUGAACAUCAAAAAGUACUUCUGAAUAAGAAGAAAUACUUGGUUAUGGAAGAAAUUGGUACCUUCUCCUUUACUGUAGGUGUUGGAUAGUUGUCUGCUGGAGAUGCUGUAGCAGUGGAUUCUGCACUGGUAAUGGGGUUAGAUUAUUUAUUUAUUUAUUUAAUUAGAUUUUUAUACCACCCUUCUCCCGAAGGACUCAGGGCGGUUUACAGCCAGAUAAAACAAAGCAGCAAUAUAAAUACAAGAUAAAAUACUGUUUAAAAAACUUAUUCAAUUUGGCCCAAGUUAAGAUAAAUUUAAAACAAUAAAACCCAUUAAAAAUUAAAACCAUAUAAAAUCUAAAAUCCUAUGCCAGUCCUGCGCGAAUAAACAAAUAUGUCUUCAGCUCGCGGCGAAAGGUUCGAAGGUCAGGAAGUUGGCGGAGUCCUGUGGGAAGUUCGUUCCAGAGGGUAGGAGCCCUCACAGAGAAGGCCCUUCCCCUGGGGGCCGCCAGCCGACAUUGCUUGGCGGACGGCACCCUGACGAGUCUCUUUGUGAGAGUGCACGGGUCGGUGGGAGGCAGUCGGUAGCAGUAGGCGGUCCCGUAGAUAACCCGGCCCUAAGCCAUGGAGUGCUUUAAAGGUAGUAAUCAGCACCUUGAAGUGCACCCGAAAGACCACAGGUAGCCAGUGCAGCCUGCGCAGGAGUGGUGUCACAUGGGAGCCACGAGCGGCUCCCUCUAUCACCCGUGCAGCUGCAUUCUGAAUCAACUGGAGCCUCCGGGUGCUCUUCAAGUGGAGCCCCAUGUAGAGAGCAUUGCAGUAGUCCAAGCGAGAGGUAACAAGAGCAUGAGUGACCGUGCAUAGGGAUCCCGGUCAAGGAAGGGGCGCAACUGGCAAAUCAGGUGAACCUGAUAAAAAGCUUUCCUGGAGACGGUCGUCAGGUGAUCUCCAAAAGACAACCGUCCAUCCAGGAGGACACCCAAGUUGCGCACCCUUUCCAUCGGGGCCAAUGACUCGCCCCCAACAGUCAGCCGCGGCUGCAGCUGACUGUACCGGGGUGCCGGCAUCCACAGCCACUCCGUCUUGGAGGGAUUGAGCUUGAACCUGUUUCUCCCCAUCCAGACCCGUACGGCUUCCAGACACCGGGACAGUACUUCGAUGGCUUCGUUGAGGUGGCCUGGGGUGGAAAAGUACAGCUGCAUGUCAUCAGCGUACAGUUGGUACCUCACCCCAAAACCACUGAUGAUCUCACCCAGCGGCUUCAUAUAGAUGUUGAACAGGAGAGGCGAGAGAAUCGACCCCUGCGGCACCCCACAAGUGAGGCGCCUCGUCAACACCGUCUGCGACCGGUCAGAGAGAUAGGAGAACCACCGAUAAACGGUGCCUCCCACUCCCAAACUCCCCAGCCGGUGCAGUAGGAACAACCCCUUCCAACAAAGAAGCAUUGGUAAUCCCCCGGAGCCAGCCUCGUGUCACCUCCUGCGUUAGAUCAUCUCCAGGCUCCCUUCCAAUUUUGAUACUCCAAGUAGUAUAUACAAACUUUGAUUGGCAGGCAAUAAACUUGCUAAAAGAUUACUGUACCUAGUUCUGCAAAAAAUAAGUGCAGCCCUUAUAUUGAAGAAUUAUUUUAUCUACCAAACAAUAGAUUAUGAAAAUAUGAAUGCUCAAGUUACAGAAGUACAACACUUAUUUUGUUGUUGUUGUUGUUGUUAGUUGCAAAGUCGUGUCCGACCCAUUGUAACCCCUUAACUUUAAAAAUUAAGGUAAUAUGCAUUUAUAAAAAAGGGUAGUUGUCCCCAAGAUUUUCAGAUCUAUUCAUACCAGCAUAAUUUUGGUAAUUAUAAAAUAAUGUCUAGUCUUAAUAAGGAAACAAAACUUAUUUUUCCAUAAAAAUGGUUUACUUUUAAUAUUUUAAUAACUUGUCCAUCUAUGUCAGGGAUAGUCAACCUUUUUAUACCUACUGCCCAUUUUUGUAUCUCUGUUAGUAGUAAAAUUUUCUAACCGCCCACCAGUUCCACAGUAAUGUGCUGUGUAUCGUCUGCGCAUGCCUCUCGCGCAUCGUGGAUUGGGUUUGGAGGAGGGGGGUGGCGCGCCGGCUACCAGCUCUGCUUGUCUGUUACAGCUGGGAGGUGUGUGGGGAGAUGCGUGAGCUAUUCUGGUAAGAGGCUCUUUUGUUUGCGGUUGCACUACAGCACCAUUUAGUUUCACUUACGUAACACGAACUAAACUUAUGUGUGGGCGAUAUAAAUAGUAUAUUUUCAGAAAUUUAAAUUGUCACGGGGAUUUUUUUGAAAACCUAAUGAAAAUGUUUUUAAAUAAUGCUAUGAACAUUUUUUAAAACGUCAAUUAAAUUAAAAAAAAGGAAAGUGCUUCAGUAUCUGACAAAACCCCUACCGCCCACCAUGAAAGCUGGAACGCCCACUAGUGGGCAGUAGGGACCAGGUUGACUACCACUGAUCUAUGUAUUGUGUAUUAAAAACAAGCUUUACUACUAAAAUAAAUCCUUUGUAAGUAUUCUAAAAACAUUAUUACAGCUAACAAAAUAAAGCACUGAGUUCAUAGCAAAAGAAGCCAUAAUGAAGUUAGCUACUCUGAGGCCAGAGUAUGGAGGGUUAUGAUCAUAGUAUUAGACAGCAUUCCUAAAUGUGUUUGGAAAUCUUGUAGGUUCAAUAAGAUUUCUUUAAACAGUUAUUUAAAAAAAUCAAAUAAUUGUUCUUAGCACAGCUUUAAUGUUGAAGAUGGGACUUUCUCAUUGUCUUAAUCUGAUCCAGUUUAUUUUCUUGAAUUCCACAAUGUAUUUUUAAUAUUGAGACAAUAUCAACUUUAAUCAAAGAUAUCUUAAAUUUAAGAACAGGAAGUUGUAAUGAACUACUAAAACACACACUUUUCAACAGGUAAAUACUGAUAUUUGCUUUGAAAUAAAUUAUUAACUUAUCAAGUAAUUCAUCUUCAAGGCAUUCAAGUGAAGAUAAACAAAAGGGGAAGGUAAUCUCAAAAAAAGUACAACUAGCAGAGAUAAUCAGGCUGUCUCAGACAAUUAGGUAGGAAAGACAACACAAUGUUGUUUGUAAAACAAAGAAGAAUGUAGGUGAAAAGCAUGCAUCAUUUAUUCUUGCCGAUUUAAAACUCGUUUACGUAUAAUUAUUUUUAAAAUUUGAGAAAUUAAAUACUAAUACUUUUCUGACAAUUUAAUUUAUACUUAACUUUAUACAAAAUUACUAUUUACUGAGCAACUUAAUUUUUGAUAAUAGUUCUCUGUAGUGUUAAAUAGCAUUCUACUCAGAUGAGUUCAGCCUCAUGUUUCUUGCCUAUUCUUUUUUCAGUUACCUUAUUUGUCUAUAUAAUAUGGAAAAAUUAUAUUAACUAUAUUACUGCUGCUACUAUAAUUUCUCCCUGCGGGCCUAUUACAAACUUAUGUGUAAGACUUAUUGUACAUUUAUAACUAAAGAGGUGUAGGUACUUUCUAAUAUUUUCUUAAAUUAAUUGUACUAGAUCACCUUACCCACCUCAAAAACAAAUAUUACAUACUUGCGUCAAAUUUUUAAUCCAGAUUUACUUGUUUCCAACAUUAGGAAAUGUAGGAAAGUUUAUUUGGUUUUUCAAGCUCAAGCAAAAAGGAGUUAAGUUUCACAUUUCAGAGCUUGGUGGCUAAUAAUUUUAAAAUAAUUGACAAACAUACCUGUAGAUUUUCAGUCUAAUGGUAUAUUUAAAGUACAUAUAUAUUUCAUUAAAAAUUAUUUUCUUCCUCCAUGCUGUCUAUAAGCUUAAAGGAAGAUAAAAUAUAUCGGCAAUGACUUAGUAUACCAGCCAACUUUAUUGAUGUAAAGAAUAUGUGUGUGUAGCAUUCUGUCCAGUAUUGUAAAUAUACUGUAUAUGCUACGUUUUUCAGUGUACAAAUGGAUUUCUUGCAUAAUGCAAACCCAUAGUAUGUCUUUUUGUUACAUCUUUUCAGCAAUAUAUACCCUAGUAACUAAAUCAAAAGCUAACAGGCUUAGUAGAAUACCUACUGUUAGAAUUCUUAGCCUAAAAUGAUUUGUCAGUGAUAGAAAUGGACCAUUAUUCAUCAUGUCUGAAAAAGAUACAAAAAUAGAUACACAGUAUUUUGGUUUUAUUUUUUCAGCCUGUAUCAUCUAAACAGCUAACUAGAAAGAAAAUGAAAGCCAUUUGAGGAAAUGGGAAGGUAAUAUUGAAUAAAUAAACAGCCUUUAUAAAUGAUUUGUUAGAAGAGAAACCCUGGUUUUUCUACUGCACUAAUAAGAAAUUCCAAUGCAGUAUGACUAGUAAGUUUAUACUAUAUAUCACUGUAAUUUCACUGUACACUUGAUAUACUACUAAUAUCCAGAAAGGAUUUAAAAUAGCAUUUUAUAUAGAUGAGGAUUCUUUAAACAGAUUUUCAUAUUUAGUUUUUAUUUAACAAAAUGUAUCAGUGAUGUAUCUCUCAUACUCUCCCUGGUACAAGAACACUCAAAAAGCAGGAAACCGAAUAAGAAACAUUACUUCAUUUAUCAAUGUCUUUAUGAUGAAUAUCUAUUUUACAAUUCCAAUUCCUUGGCUGCUUGACUCCACAAUGAUGCUGGGUGGCUGAAAAUGUAAAAAUGUAAAAAAAACCAACAACUUAUGUAGGUAGAUCUGAAGUCACAACCACAAUCGAGACCAAAUUUUGAUCACAUGAUUGCGGAGAUUCUGUGACGGUUGUAAGUCACUUUUUAAGUGCUGUUAUAACUUUGAACAGUCACCAUACAAUUGAUUGUAAGUCAAGAACUACCUGUAUGAAAGAAAAAGAAUGCAGCUGACAAGAAGACAAAACCAAAAGGCAAAAGUGGCUCAUUGAUCAUGCUACCCCAAAACCUUGGAGAACUCUGCAGAAAUUCAAAAAAAUAGCAGCAGAACCCAUCUACGAUGUUUCUGGAGAGAAUAUGCAUAAUGUUACAAAAAAAACUUUUGUCUAUCAAGCACUUAAAUGAUUAAGCUUUGACUGAAACUUAUAAGAUCCAUAAAGUACAUCAAAUAUGUAUACAUCAACAUCUGUCAGCAACGACCUGAUAUACUUUAUGUCAGUCAAUCAAAUCAGUCAAUGACCAAAUCAGUCAAUAUGAAAAGAAGAAACAAAACAGGUCCAAUUAUUAGAAUUAAUUGUAUACCAAAUACAAAUAUUUAUUUGGUCAUUUUCCAACAAGUUUUCUCCAUUUUUCCUUCUUCUGAACUAGUACUGGGGCAUAAAUAAAAUGUAAGUCUAUAAAUCUCAUGCAAUAAGGGAGUUGUUGGUCUUUGGCACAAUAUACAUACAGUGCAAUGUUUUGAUAAUUUUUUUGUAUAGGACAGAGGAAAAUAAACACUCUACCCUACUUCAUUUUUUUCCACAUUAUAAACAUUUUUGCUUAUUUUCAACAAUUUUUUUUUAAAAAACCUCAUUUUCCUUCACUGCAUAAGGUAACAAGUUAAAGUGCCCUCAAGAGAAGCCUGACUUUAAAGCCAUGAAGGUUUGAUGGCCCUUGGUCACAUUCUAGAAGUUGAUUUUUGUUCCUUGUCUUCUUUUCUAUACCAGCCAUGAAAUUCCCAACGGUCUCCUAUCCAAACACUAUCCAGGAUCAGCCGAGGGCAGCCAGAUGCUGCCACCCGCCGAGAUUAUCACAUCUCUCUCACAGACGUUUUAAUGAAAUGAACUUGAUCAGCAGAAAAAGAUCCGCUCGUCUUUUGUGCAUGGCAAAUUCUCUUCGGGCUAACAAGUCGCCUACCCUCUUUGGAAACGCCAUGGCACCACCGAAGCGGGCUUCGUGAAGAAGCUUUCCCUCACAUUUCUAGCCCUGUUCCUCAAAACCCUCCCUCCUUUUUCUUCCGAGGGGAGGCUUCUAACCGUUGGGGCAACAAGGCAAACAUCGGAGCGUCGGAACCAGAAGCAGCCACCUCAGCAAAGCUCAAAACCACCCGAAAUCCACCUAAGGAAAAAACGCGUUCCUCAGGCUCAUCGCAUCCACGCCUGGGAGGAACAUCGCCGUCCGAGAACUAAAUUAAAAAAAAAAAAAAAGGCUGGAAAAGGCCUGCAGUCUUGCUCUAAGGGCUCCGCUGGUCACUCGAUCGACCUCCCGUUUCCGCUCAGGCGCGGCGCCGCAGACUAACGGACAGCGGCCGGACGCCCAGCCCGCGCGCUGAGGACAGCGCUGCUACUGUCUUUCCCCGGCGCGCGGACAAGAGAGGAUUUUUUGCGCCCUCUUCCCCCCCCCCCACUCCCCUCCGCUCCGCCUAGGGCGGAUUCCGCCUUCCCGGCCGCGACUUUCCCGGGAGAGGCGAAGAGGAUCCCGCGGGGUGGAGU